UACGAAGGGGGCUAGCGUUGUUCGGAUUUACUGGGCGUAAAGCGCACGUAGGCGGAUCGUUAAGUCGGGGGUGAAAUCCUGGAGCUCAACUCCAGAACUGCCUUCGAUACUGGCGAUCUCGAGUCCGGAAGAGGUGAGUGGAACUCCUAGUGUAGAGGUGGAAUUCGUAGAUAUUAGGAAGAACACCAGUGGCGAAGGCGGCUCACUGGUCCGGUACUGACGCUGAUGUGCGAAAGCGUGGGGAGCAAACAGG
Molecule: ribosomal RNA, 253 nt
Filed under: uncultured bacterium
Lineage: Bacteria
Description: partial 16S ribosomal RNA
Rfam family: Bacterial small subunit ribosomal RNA
Source: RNAcentral